UGGGGAUGACGUCAAGUCAUCAUGGCCCUUACGGCCUGGGCUACACACGUGCUACAAUGGUCGGUACAAAGGGUUGCCAAGCCGCGAGGUGGAGCUAAUCCCAUAAAACCGAUCGUAGUCCGGAUCGCAGUCUGCAACUCGACUGCGUGAAGUCGGAAUCGCUAGUAAUCGCGGAUCAGCCAAGCCGCGGUGAAUACGUUCCCGGGCCUU
This 210-nucleotide ribosomal RNA is filed under the name uncultured Pseudomonas sp. RNAcentral's name for it is "partial 16S ribosomal RNA". It matches the Rfam family "Bacterial small subunit ribosomal RNA", at positions 1174 to 1382 of the family's 1533-position model. Lineage: Bacteria; Pseudomonadati; Pseudomonadota; Gammaproteobacteria; Pseudomonadales; Pseudomonadaceae. The record is from RNAcentral.